Long non-coding RNA from Dermochelys coriacea (leatherback sea turtle), 3383 nucleotides. RefSeq lists it as uncharacterized. The record is from RefSeq and is a predicted model, not a curated record. Lineage: Eukaryota; Metazoa; Chordata; Testudines; Dermochelyidae. The transcript is spliced from 2 exons.
AGAGGUGUGAGAACAGUAUCCUCAGCAAGACCUGAUCCUGACGGUGACUCUACAAUACACCUGGGGGAGGAGUGUAACUGGAAAAUCAGUAUUAAAAUAAUUAAAAUGCAAAUAAGUAUUCUUUUUAAUUAUAGUUUUAGUGAUUAAUUUCUAGAAAUUUUUCAACUGCAAACAAUUUUGCAUUUGAGUCAUUUAUAACACAGGGAAGCAGUCCAAACUACUCAUCUGCAUAAUAUCACUCAUGUUUGUUAGUGCUUUCAAGAUCAGGGCGUUGGUCAGUAAUCUGUUUGAGGUAGGAAAAAAAUAUCUUAUGUGGUGUCUAUGGGCUUGUCUGCACUACCAGCCAGAUUGGCGGGCAGCGAUCAAUCCAACGGGGGUCGAUUUAUCACAUCUAGAUGCGAUAAAUCAAUCGCUGAGCGCUCCCCCAUUGACUCCAGUACUCCACCAGAACAAGAAGUGCAAGUGGAGUCGACGGGAGAGUGUCAGCUGUCGACUUACCGCAGUGAAGACACCGCGGUAAGUAGAUCUAAGUACGUCGACUUCAGCUACAUUAUUCACGUAGCUGAAGUUGCAUAUCUUAGAUCAGGGCUCUCAAACAUGUGACCCGCAAAGUUAUUUCCUGUGGCCCACCAUAGCUCCCCUCACCCCCCGCUUCCACCACCCCCAGCACGCUGCGUCCCAGCUCUUCCACCUGCCUGCAAACAGCUGUUUGGCGGCGCUUAGGACUUUCCAGGAGGGAGCUGCGGGGACACAGCGUGCUCAGGGAAGCUAGUGGGAGCGCUGCGAACACAGGCUGGAGGACUCAGGAGGAGCACAGGGUGGCUGUGCAGCCGGCUGGAGAGAAGCAGCACUUUGAAGGAGAAACCACCGCUUCUCUCCGGCCGCUCCUGCUCCUCCGGAGUCCUCCGGCCAUGUUUGUAGGGCCGCAUUCCAAAAGGGGCUUUAGAGCUGCAGUCCAGAGCCUUGCAGCCCCUAAAGCCCCUGCAAUCCAGGCAGCCCUGCCUGGCAGGGGGCAGCUUCCAGAAUCGCAGCCAUGGGGGCGGUGUUACGCUGCACAGAGCCACCUGCACCCCCCCCCCGCACCAAACAGGAGCUGCCCAAGGUAAAUGCUCUGCACCCCUUGCCUGCCCCAGCCCUGUGCUCCCUCCCAAACCCUAAGUCCCUAACUCCCUCCCAGAUCCUGCACCCCCAGCCCUGAGCCCCAGAAGGAGACUGGAAAAAAAAAGAAUGAAAAACAAGGGGGGGAGAGAAUGCUCCCCCCACAGGGAGGCCCAAAAAUGAAGCUGAGCACAGGGUCCCACUAACUCUAAAUCUGCCACUGUGAAAAGGUGUCAGUGAUGCAGCCCUUGGGCCAAUGUACUAGUCCUCAUGUGGCCCUUGUGGUGAUUUGAGUUUGAGAUCCCUGCCUUAGAUCAACCCUGCAUGGUACUGUAGACAAGGGCUAUGGAACAGCUUGCACAGUAAGGUCACUAUCUUGAUUGUGGCCUGCAGGCAUUAAUGUAGAACAACAAUAAAACAGUGCCUGGUGUCUAUGCUGGAGUUUGUUGUGGUCAGAAGUGUAAGGGCAUAAAUUUAAGAUACAGUAAGGGCUUUUCUACCCUACCACGCGGGGUUGAUCUAAGAUACGCAACUUCAGCUAAGUGAAUAGCGUAGCUGAAGUCUACACACUUAGAUCUACUUAUCGCGGUGUCUUCACUGCGGUAAGUCGACAGCUGAUGCUCUCCCGUCGACUCUGCUUGCACUUCUCGUUCUGGUGGAGUACCGGAGUCGAUGGGAGAGCGCUCAGCAGUCAAUUUAUACUAGACGCAAUAAAUCAAGCCCCGCUGGAUCGAUCGCUGCCUGCCAAUCUGGCAGGUACUGUAGACAAGCCCUUAAGGGACUUAACAAUAGGAGGGAGUCAGGGAACAAGACCAAAAAUAAGCAGUAAGAUCCUGCAUUUACAUAGUAACUACUGCAAAAAAAAUUAUGAUGUCUGAUUCAUUUAGAAUGUUGGGUGUUUUUGCUUGUUUUAUCAGUCCUUUGGGUGUCUUUGUUUUUAAUUGUUUCUCUGUGACCAUCGCUACUCUAGACUGCCAAGCCACUUCAGAGACUGUCUAUUAAGCACAAGAGCAUUAAACUGUUUGGUGAUUUUAUAAGGUCGCAUGUCCACUGGAGCUCAAUUGAGAUAAAAAAAUAUUCAAAUCCUAUGACUGCUAAAAGUAAUUUCAUGUGGUCUUUAAAAACAUGUCAAGCUGGUAAAGUCACAUACAAAGACAACCGUCCUGAAGUAGGUAUGAAUCAAAAUACUCAUGUGCAGCAAGAGAUUCCAGAGAACUGGCCACACCUUACAGAAAAAUAUAUACAAACUACAUUUUAGAGGAAAAUAAAUCUUAAUCAAUGCUGUUGGGUUUUUUUAUUAUUCUAGUCAGGAAAGUCUGUUAGUUAUCUUUUAAUUCUUCCUACCUUGCCUCUUCUGAGUCAAUUAUCUCUUGGUUCUCUUUAAACCAAGUGUAAAAGGUGUUAUGUAUGCGCUCAGAUUAUGAAUUUGUGCAAUAAACAGUUCAAGUACAAAUACUUCUAGUUUCAGGAUACAACGGCUAAUACACAGCAUAGUCUUAAAGAGAGAAGAUAGAAAUCUGUAUAAAUGCCAAGUCAUCAUUACAGGAAGCUUAGCCUGGGUCUCUGAAACCUCCAAAGGAAGUUGCAAGAGAGGCUUAAAACUGUGCUUACAGUGUAGUUUUGUGGCUUUUAUAGCUGAUAAUUUUAUUAUUUUGUUUUGGGUAUACUAAGUGUUAAACAAUGUUGCUAACCCCAAAAACAAAAAUCAUGAAUCAAGACCAGAAAACACAAGAUUAAAAAAAGAGAGGAGGGAGGAGGUCUUUUGAUUUUCUUUCUGAGCCUUUACAAUGCAUUUGCUUCUACGUUUUCAAGUUUUUAUCUGCAGCCAUUGGGGCUAGAAACUUCAUGUAAAAUAAAAACAAAAGCAGAGAUACACUUGUACUCACAUGAAUCCAGAUGCUGGGACUUUUAAGAAAAACACCAAAUACCGUCCUACAUAAAUACAACUCUUUUUUCAAAGAUAGAUAUGGGGGACAUCGGUGGCAACUGGUUGAGCUGUAAACUAUGUUCCUAAAAAGUUAAGCAGCUGUUAAUUUUGCUCUCUAUGUUUGCUUAAAGGCUACUUUCUACAAUAGCUGAUUUUUCUUUAAACCUUCACACUACCCUCUUCUCAGGCAGUUCUCCCACUCUUCCUUCCCAACCCUCACACACAUUCUUAGGUCAUGCCUGCUAUUGCUAAAGCAUCCCCAUCCCUGUCUUAGGGAGAGAGGUCUCCCUUAUGUAUACUCCUUCACCCAUCUGAGGUGAGCCACAAGAUCCCCUGGAUAACAUUUCUCUAGAGUACU